Molecule: ribosomal RNA, 240 nt
Filed under: uncultured bacterium
Lineage: Bacteria
Description: partial 16S ribosomal RNA
Rfam family: Bacterial small subunit ribosomal RNA
Source: RNAcentral
UGGCGAACGGGUGAGUAACGCGUGAGGAACCUGCCUCAAAGAGGGGGACAACAGUUGGAAACGACUGCUAAUACCGCAUAAGCCCACGGGUCGGCAUCGACCUGAGGGAAAAGGAGCAAUCCGCUUUGAGAUGGCCUCGCGUCCGAUUAGCUAGUUGGUGAGGUAACGGCCCACCAAGGCGACGAUCGGUAGCCGGACUGAGAGGGUGACCGGCCACAUUGGGACUGAGACACGGCCCAA